AAUAGAUUUAAUUACUCAGCACGGCACACACACACACACACACACACACACACAUGAGUGGGAGAAAGAAAAGUGAGAGGACAAAGUGUGAGUGUGAAAAAUAAUGAAAGAGAGAGAGAGGACAGUGUGUAUGUGUGAGUGUGAGUAUUUGUGUGUGUAUUUGUGUGUGUGCGAAUUUAUAUUUGUGUGUGUGUGUGUGUGUGUGUGUGUUAGUGUGUGAAAGAGAGAGAGACUCACACAUCAAUUAAUUCUCACUUUUAACUCUUGGCCGCCAGUCGUCGACCAACCACCACCGUUUAUGCAAAUAAAGGGGGCGGGACUUAUGCUCCAGGAGGGCUACUACACUGUUCAGGCAGGGGGGCGUCUAGAGGAGGUGUGGCUAAUUUGUGCAGUUGGCAAGAAUGUGGAGAGGGGGCGGGGCUAACAUGAGAUUGACAGAAAGAGAGCGAGAAAGAUAGAGAGAGAGAGAGAUUUAGAAAGUGAAGGAAAAGGCAGGAGAAUCUCCAUCUCUCUCUCUCUCCCUCAUUUUUUUUCACUCUCUCUCCCCCUUUUCUCUAUCUCUUCUUUUCUCUCUCUAUUACUCUCUCUCUCUCAUUUUUUCCUUUACUCUCUCUUUUCCCCUUUCCUCUCUCUAUCAUUCUCUUUCUCUCUCUCCCUCUCUCUCCUCUCUUGCUCUUUCUCUCCCCCACUCUCUCUCCCCCUUUUUUCUAUCUCCCCUAUCUCUCUCUCUCCUUUCUUGCUAUUUUUCUCCAUCACAUUCUCUCUCUCUCUGUUCCUCACUCACUCACUCUCUCCCCCUUUUCUCUACCUCCCCUUCUCUCUCUCUCUCUCUCUCUCUCUCUCUCUAUCCCCUCUCCGUGGGUGUGUAAGCAUGCAUGUGUGUGUGAUGUGAGUGUGUGUGUGUGUGUGUGUGUGCGCGCGCGCUCUGCUCUUCCUCCCUCUCGCGCUCCUCAUCCUCUCCGUCUCUCCGCUGCUGUGGUGCUGAGGCUGACACACACUCUGCUCCUCGGUUGCCGUGGCGAUGGGCUGUCGGCUGUCGGGGCCGUGGCCGAGGGACGGAAUGGGGGUGAAUACCCGGGACCUGAGCCACAUAAGGAAGAGAGAGGCUUUACGAAUUCUGGCCAGCUAUGAGCAGCCAAUCACGCUACAAAUAGAGGGACGAAGGGGGCGGAGCCUGCAGUUCCACCGAACUUCGGACUGCAGUACACAGACAGAGCGAAACUGGGACCCCAUACACACUCUCGCCAUAACACACGGCCCGUACUCCGACAGGUACUGCUGAGUGUGUGUGUGUGUGUAUGGGUGUGUUAUUGUCGUGACAUUAAAUGAAUAGUAAAGGGAUCUAUCAGACUAUGAAGGAACACAUAAGGAAUCAUGAAACCAAAGGAAUCAAAGAAACCAAAAUACUCUGUGAAGAAGCAUUUAGAUGCGGUGCCAGUUUCACCAUCAUAAUGUUUUCGAUGAUUGAAAUUCUUCUUUUUCGAUUGACUGGCCUUAAUUUUUUUUGUUAAUUUUUGUUUUGGC
RNAcentral lists this long non-coding RNA (1524 nucleotides) under Astyanax mexicanus (Mexican tetra). Its description in RNAcentral is "lncRNA (ENSAMXG00005002831.1)". The record is from RNAcentral. Lineage: Eukaryota; Metazoa; Chordata; Actinopteri; Characiformes; Acestrorhamphidae.